This 460-nucleotide ribosomal RNA is filed under the name uncultured bacterium. Its description in RNAcentral is "SSU rRNA". It matches the Rfam family "Bacterial small subunit ribosomal RNA", at positions 26 to 518 of the family's 1533-position model. The record is from RNAcentral.
AGAAUCAACGCUGGCGGCGUGCCUAACACAUGCAAGUCGCACGAGAAAGGGUAGCAAUACCUGAGUACAGUGGCGCACGGGUGAGUAACACGUGAAUAAUCUACCUCCGAGUGGGGAAUAACUGAGAGAAAUCUUAGCUAAUACCGCAUAAUACCCACGGGUCAAAGCAGCAAUGCGCUUGGAGAGGAGUUCGCGGCAGAUUAGUUAGUUGGCGGGGUAAUGGCCCACCAAGACGAUGAUCUGUAUCCGGCCUGAGAGGGCGCACGGACACACUGGAACUGAAACACGGUCCAGACUCCUACGGGAGGCAGCAGUGGGGAAUUUUGCGCAAUGGGGGAAACCCUGACGCAGCAACGCCGCGUGGAGGAUGAAGCCCCUUGGGGUGUAAACUCCUUUCGAUCGGGAAGAUAAUGACGGUACCGAUAUAAGAAGCCCCGGCUAACUUCGCGCCAGCAGCCGC